ACACAUGCAAGUCGAACGCAGUAGCAAUACUGAGUGGCAAACGGGUGAGUAUAAUGUGGGAAUCUGCCUUUUGGUUUGGAAUAACACGGGGAAACCUGUGCUAAUACCGAAUAAGCCUUUACAGGGAAAGUUUUAAUGCCAAAAGAUGAGCCCGCACUUGAUUAGCUAGUUGGUAAGGUAAAAGCUUACCAAGGCAACGAUCAAUAGCUGUUCUUAGAGGAAGACCAGCCACAUUGGGACUGAGACACGGCCCAGACUCCUACGGGAGGCAGCAGUGGGGAAUCUUGCACAAUGGGGGAAACCCUGAUGCAGCGAUGCCGCGUGAGUGAAGAAGGCCUUUGGGUUGUAAAACUCUUUCGUCGGGGAAGAAAAUGACUGUACCCGAAUAAGAAGGUCCGGCUAACUUCGUGCCAGCAGCCGCGGUAAUACGAAGGGACCUAGCGUAGUUCGGAAUUACUGGGCUUAAAGAGCUCGUAGGUGGUUAAAAAAGUUGAUGGUGAAAUCCCAAGGCUCAACCUUGGAACUGCCAUCAAAACUUUUUAGCUAGAGUGUGAUAGAGGUAAGUGGAAUUUCUAGUGUAGAGGUGAAAUUCGUAGAUAUUAGAAAGAACACCAAAUGCGAAGGCAACUUACUGGGUCACUACUGACACUGAGGAGCGAAAGCAUGGGUAGCGAAGAGGAUUAGAUACCCUCGUAGUCCAUGCCGUAAACGAUGUGUGCUAGACGUUGGAAAUAUAUUUUUCAGUGUCGCAGCGAAAGCGUUAAGCACACCGCCUGGGGAGUACGACCGCAAGGUUAAAACUCAAAUGAAUUGACGGGGACCCGCACAAGCAGUGGAGCAUGUGGUUUAAUUCGAAGA
Molecule: ribosomal RNA, 858 nt
Filed under: uncultured bacterium
Lineage: Bacteria
Description: bacterial SSU rRNA
Rfam family: Bacterial small subunit ribosomal RNA
Source: RNAcentral